GUGCUCUCUUUGGCAGCACACACACUAAAAUUAGAAAGAUAUAAAGAAGAUUUUCAUGGCCCCUGUGUAAAGAUGACAUACAAAUUCAGGAAGUAGCCCAUAUAUUU
This is a small nuclear RNA of Erinaceus europaeus (western European hedgehog), 107 nucleotides long. NCBI's taxonomy places the organism in Eukaryota, Metazoa, Chordata, Mammalia, Eulipotyphla, Erinaceidae. The record is from Ensembl.